CCUACGGGUGGCAGCAGUGGGGAAUAUUGGGCAAUGGGCGAAAGCCUGACCCAGCAACGCCGCGUGAAGGAAGAAGGCUUUCGGGUUGUAAACUUCUUUUGACAGGGAAGAGCAGAAGACGGUACCUGUCGAAUAAGCCACGGCUAACUACGUGCCAGAAGCCGCGGUAAUACGUAGGUGGCAAGCGUUGUCCGGAUUUACUGGUGGGAAAGGGCGUGUAGCCGGGCUUACAAGUCAGAUGUGAAAUCCGGGGGCUCAACCCCCGAAAUGCAUUUGAAACUGUUGGUUUUGAGUAGCGGAGAGGCAGGCGGAAUUCCUAGUGUAGCGGUGACAUGCGUAGAUAUUAGGAAGAACACCAGUGGCGAAGGUGGCCUGCUGGACGACAACUGACGGUGAGGCGCGAAAGCGUGGGGAGCAAACAGGAUUAGAUACCCUUGUAGUC
Molecule: ribosomal RNA, 442 nt
Filed under: uncultured bacterium
Lineage: Bacteria
Description: partial 16S ribosomal RNA
Rfam family: Bacterial small subunit ribosomal RNA
Source: RNAcentral